RNAcentral lists this ribosomal RNA (433 nucleotides) under uncultured bacterium. Its description in RNAcentral is "partial 16S ribosomal RNA". It matches the Rfam family "Bacterial small subunit ribosomal RNA", at positions 29 to 507 of the family's 1533-position model. The record is from RNAcentral.
AACGAACGCUGGCGGCAUGCCUAACACAUGCAAGUCGAACGAGACCUUCGGGUCUAGUGGCGCACGGGUGCGUAACGCGUGGGAACCUGCCCUUAGGUUCGGAAUAACUCCCCGAAAGGGGUGCUAAUACCGGAUAAUGUCUUCGGACCAAAGAUUUAUCGCCUUUGGAUGGGCCCGCGUUGGAUUAGCUAGUUGGUAGGGUAAAAGCCUCCCAAGGCGACGAUCCAUAGCUGGUCUGAGAGGAUGAUCAGCCACACUGGGACUGAGACACGGCCCAGACUCCUACGGGAGGCAGCAGUGGGGAAUAUUGGACAAUGGGCGAAAGCCUGAUCCAGCAAUGCCGCGUGAGUGAUGAAGGCCUUAGGGUUGUAAAGCUCUUUUACCCGGGAUGAUAAUGACAGUACCGGGAGAAUAAGCGCCGGCUAACUCCGUG